UAUUCUGCCCUACAGGGAAGGAUGAGAAGCUUCGACUAAGGUUCGACUCGAGCGAAGCGAGAGAACGUUGCCGCAGGCAACGGCCCGAAGGCGAGGCGCUUUAGCGCCGAGUAAUCCUUCCCCCACCACUG
RNAcentral lists this small RNA (131 nucleotides) under Klebsiella pneumoniae. Its description in RNAcentral is "RtT sRNA". It matches the Rfam family "RtT RNA". From Rfam's summary of the family: This family represents a bacterial cis-regulatory element known as RtT RNA. The record is from RNAcentral. Lineage: Bacteria; Pseudomonadati; Pseudomonadota; Gammaproteobacteria; Enterobacterales; Enterobacteriaceae.